Molecule: long non-coding RNA, 1867 nt
Filed under: Struthio camelus australis
Lineage: Eukaryota; Metazoa; Chordata; Aves; Struthioniformes; Struthionidae
Description: lncRNA (ENSSCUG00000016041.1)
Source: RNAcentral
GCCUUGGGGGUGGCCAGCGGGGGCACAGAGCCCCCCGGCUGUCCUCAGGGCUGGUGGUGGCCCCCAACGGCCACAGUCAGUCUCCUUAAGGGCACCUCUUUCUGCCUUUCACUGGNNNNNNNNNNNNNNNNNNNNNNNNNNNNNNCCGCGGGCUGUGAGGCGCCAACCCAGGGGGUGUCGGAGCGGGGACGCGCAGUCAACCGUGCUGUAUAGAACUGCUGGACGCAAAGUUUGAAGGAAACGAGGACUUCUGUUGAGAAAAUGGAGGGAAUGUUGUGGGAUACCGCGGAAGAGAGAAGAUGGGAGCUCGAGGCGUAGAGCCGACCGCGAGAGGCGCUAACGGAAGGGCGCCGCGGGGAAGCGCCGAGCGAGCCCACCGCCUUGGCCUCCUGGAGCGGGCGGGCUCAAACCCGGCCUCUUCGCAGGGACCGCAGCGUAUGUAUGGGAUGCAACUCUAAGCUGUUUGUACCAUAACAUCUUAAUAAUUUGUGCUGUAUAUUUGCAAAUACGUGAUGUGGAGGGUUUGAGACUUGGCCCUUUGCCUGGAAUAAUGUCCAAGGAUAGGAAUUUAAUUUCUCACUUACCAUCUAAUACAAGUCUAGCAUCAAAAUUGAGGUGAGUGCUCAGUAGGCUUAAAGAGAAGACCCUUUUCUUCCUUUCUCCUUACAUGUCAGCAAAACAGGCAUCACAAUGCACUGUGUGGUAUGUGCAUGGUACAUCAGAUACAAAAUAGCAAGUGAUAUCAUGUUAGAAUAUAAAGGUCUUUAGCUUAGAACUCUAGUCUAUAAAUUACAUAUGUGGGUGUAAAUUCAGUCUGGUUGUUGAAAAACACAAAAUCAAUUGUACAGAAAGGAACCCUAACUCAAGUUUACAGAUAAUUGAAGCACAAUGUGAUGAAGGAUAUGCCCAAAGUAAUGAGGAGGUUCAAUGCCAGGGUUAGUUAUUUAAUAUCCCUCAGUCUUUUCAUGCCUUGCUUCGUUUGUAGGAAACAGAAAAGCUAGACUAAAUAUAAACUAAAUAUGAAACAGUGUUUUAAACUGACAGUUUUAACAAAUCCUAUUUCCCUUAGAACUGCUCUGAAAGACGUUUUUGAACACUUGUGAAGGCAGUACUAAUGUGCUGAGUUAGCACUAGCUCAUGCUAAAAUCCAAAUGUAAUGUAGCUCAUAUUAAAAAACUUACAAUACAGCUGUACAAAUUUUCUGUUUUAAGAAACUAUUUGGGAUUAUAAAUGCAAAACACUGAAAAACAGAAUGAUGCUGCAUUUAAUACAUUUUCAUACUUGUAUCACUGUAAUAUUAGCAAAGUGGAGCUUCCCCCUGCCCCCACCCAGGGUUCUGUAGAAGAGAUGUCUCUGUUAUUGCUGCUAUAAAAUACAAAAUAAGUCUAAAGUAGUAGUAGAAAAUGGCGCUUUUCUGAGGAAGCUGCACUCUCAUUCAUGGCAAAAAAAGAUACUUUAUAAUGAGAGGAUUCCCAGAUAUAGUCUGACAAUUUUCAAAGACUUGAUGAAUACACAAGCUCUUUCAGGUCUGUUUUUUAAAAGACAACUUGUCUGGUUUCUUUUUGUGUAUAUGGUGUGUAAUCUUAAAGUAUGUGUGUUAUGAGCAAGAACUGGAAGCUUUUAUAUGUGUAUUCCAGUUUCAUAAAAUACAGUCUUUCUUGAUCUAUCUUGCCAAAACAUGAACUCAGUGAAACAAGAGAUUUUCUAUCACUAGAUGCUUUCCAAUCUAAUGUGGAUGUCUUCCCAGUUUAAAUUAGGAGUUUGGAAAAUUCUAUGAUCUUUUGUAAAGUGUUUAGAUUAGACAGAGUAGUAAUAUUUUCUGAGUUCUGAUUUCUUAAAUAAAAGUAGUUCCCUACCUUCUUUCCCA